UGAGUGUACCUUUCGAAUAAGCACCGGCUAACUACGUGCCAGCAGCCGCGGUAAUACGUAGGGUGCAAGCGUUAUCCGGAAUUAUUGGGCGUAAAGGGCUCGUAGGCGGUUCGUCGCGUCCGGUGUGAAAGUCCAUCGCUUAACGGUGGAUCCGCGCCGGGUACGGGCGGGCUUGAGUGCGGUAGGGGAGACUGGAAUUCCCGGUGUAACGGUGGAAUGUGUAGAUAUCGGGAAGAACACCAAUGGCGAAGGCAGGUCUCUGGGCCGUUACUGACGCUGAGGAGCGAAAGCGUGGGGAGCGAACAGGAUUAGAUACCCUGGUAGUCCACGCCGUAAACGGUGGAUGCUGGAUGUGGGGCCCGUUCCACGGGUUCCGUGUCGGAGCUAACGCGUUAAGCAUCCCGCCUGGGGAGUACGGCCGCAAGGCUAAAACUCAAAGAAAUUGACGGGGGCCCGCACAAGCGGCGGAGCAUGCGGAUUAAUUCGAUGCAACGCGAAGAACCUUACCUGGGCUUGACAUGUUCCCGACGAUCCCAGAGAUGGGGUUUCCCUUCGGGGCGGGUUCACAGGUGGUGCAUGGUCGUCGUCAGCUCGUGUCGUGAGAUGUUGGGUUAAGUCCCGCAACGAGCGCAACCCUCGCCCCGUGUUGCCAGCGGAUUGUGCCGGGAACUCACGGGGGACCGCCGGGGUUAACUCGGAGGAAGGUGGGGAUGACGUCAGAUCAUCAUGCCCCUUACGUCCAGGGCUUCACGCAUGCUACAAUGGCCGGUACAACGGGAUGCGACAGUGCGAGCUGGAGCGGAUCCCUGAAAACCGGUCUCAGUUCGGAUCGCAGUCUGCAACUCGACUGCGUGAAGGCGGAGUCGCUAGUAAUCGCGAAUCAGCAACGUCGCGGUGAAUGCGUUCCCGGGCCUUGUACACACCGCCCGUCAAGUCAUG
This 939-nucleotide ribosomal RNA is filed under the name Bifidobacterium breve DSM 20213 = JCM 1192. RNAcentral describes it as "bacterial SSU rRNA". It matches the Rfam family "Bacterial small subunit ribosomal RNA", at positions 470 to 1406 of the family's 1533-position model. Lineage: Bacteria; Bacillati; Actinomycetota; Actinomycetes; Bifidobacteriales; Bifidobacteriaceae. The record is from RNAcentral.